Molecule: microRNA precursor, 195 nt
Filed under: Oryza brachyantha (malo sina)
Lineage: Eukaryota; Viridiplantae; Streptophyta; Magnoliopsida; Poales; Poaceae
Description: MIR812 microRNA precursor family
Rfam family: MIR812 microRNA precursor family
Source: Rfam by way of RNAcentral
AAUAAACUAGUUUUUCACUUUUUACCUAUAAUUUUUGAUUUUUUUGUCUUAUUUAAAUUUUUUUGCGAUUAAUAUUUUUGUUUUUAUUAGAUGAUAAAUCAUAAAUAGUAUUUUACGUGUGACUAAUUUUUUUCUAAUUUCUUAAAAAAAUUUUAAAUAAGAUAGAUGGUCAAACGUUAGACACGAAAACCGGAG